GAGUUUGAUCCUGGCUCAGAACGAACGCUGGCGGCAGGCUUAACACAUGCAAGUCGAACGCGUGUAGCAAUACACGAGUGGCGCACGGGUGAGUAACACGUGGAUAUCUGCCUUUUGGUUCGGAAUAACCCUGGGAAACUAGGGCUAAUACCGGAUGGUUCCUACGGGAUAAAGAUUUAUCGCCAAAAGAUGAGUCCGCGUCCGAUUAGCUAGUUGGUGAGGUAAUGGCUCACCAAGGCGACGAUCGGUAGCUGGUCUGAGAGGACGAUCAGCCACACUGGGACUGAGACACGGCCCAGACUCCUACGGGAGGCAGCAGUGGGGAAUAUUGGACAAUGGGGGCAACCCUGAUCCAGCCAUGCCGCGUGAGUGAUGAAGGCCUUCGGUUG
Molecule: ribosomal RNA, 389 nt
Filed under: uncultured Alphaproteobacteria bacterium
Lineage: Bacteria; Pseudomonadati; Pseudomonadota; Alphaproteobacteria
Description: bacterial SSU rRNA
Rfam family: Bacterial small subunit ribosomal RNA
Source: RNAcentral